This 460-nucleotide ribosomal RNA is filed under the name uncultured bacterium. RNAcentral describes it as "partial 16S ribosomal RNA". It matches the Rfam family "Bacterial small subunit ribosomal RNA", at positions 338 to 795 of the family's 1533-position model. The record is from RNAcentral.
CCUACGGGUGGCUGCAGUGAGGAAUAUUGGUCAAUGGAGGCAAUUCUGAACCAGCCAAGCAGCGUGCAGGAAGACGGCCCUAUGGGUUGUAAACCGCUUUUAUCGGGGGACAAACCCCGGCACGUGUCCCGUAUUGCAGGUACCGGAUGAAUAAGCACCGGCUAAAUCCGUGCCAGCAGCCGCGGUAAUACGGAAGGUCCGGGCGUUAUCCGGAUUUAUUGGGUUUAAAGGGUGGGUAGGCCGUCCCUUAAGCGCGCGGUGAAAUUCCGGGGCCCCAACCCGGCUGAGCGGUGCGAACUGGGAGACUUGAGUUGGCGAGAAGUACGCGGAAUGCGUGGUGUAGCGGUGAAAUGCAUAGAUAUCGCGCAGAACUCCGAUUGCGAAGGCAGCGUACCGUCGCCUGACUGACGCUGAGGCACGAAAGUGCGGGGAUCGAACAGGAUUAGAUACCCGAGUAGAC